Molecule: long non-coding RNA, 243 nt
Filed under: Elaeis guineensis (African oil palm)
Lineage: Eukaryota; Viridiplantae; Streptophyta; Magnoliopsida; Arecales; Arecaceae
Description: long non-coding RNA (EGUI_LNC053955)
Source: RNAcentral
UCUCUAACCAUUCGAGUCCUUGCUAUGUAUGUUUGCUAUUGUAGGUUCAGGUUCGCUAUUUGGAGUAGGAUGCACCUAGAUGAAAUCUAUCGACCUUGGUAGAAAAGAAAAAGUCCUAUGCAAUUCGUAAGACUGAGUUCAGAAAAUCUCUGACCAGAGUAAGUGUGAAUAUUGAAAAAGUAUUUUCACAAAAUUUACAGAUAAACUCAAGUCGAGCCAAUCUGGCAUAUGACUGACGAUGGG